RNAcentral lists this ribosomal RNA (482 nucleotides) under uncultured bacterium. RNAcentral describes it as "partial 16S ribosomal RNA". It matches the Rfam family "Bacterial small subunit ribosomal RNA", at positions 30 to 507 of the family's 1533-position model. The record is from RNAcentral.
AUUGAACGCUGGCGGCAUGCCUUACACAUGCAAGUCGAACGGUAACAGGUCUUCGGAUGCUGACGAGUGGCGAACGGGUGAGUAAUACAUCGGAACGUGCCCAGACGUGGGGGAUAACGAGGCGAAAGCUGUGCUAAUACCGCAUACGAUCUAAGGAUGAAAGCAGGGGACCGCAAGGCCUUGUGCGGUUGGUGCGGCCGAUGGCAGAUUAGGUAGUUGGUGGGAUAAAAGUUUACCAAGCCGACGAUCUGUAGCUGGUCUGAGAGGACGACCAGCCACACUGGGACUGAGACACGGCCCAGACUCCUACGGGAGGCAGCAGUGGGGAAUUUUGGACAAUGGGCGAAAGCCUGAUCCAGCAAUGCCGCGUGCAGGAUGAAGGCCUUCGGGUCGUAAACUGCUUUUGUACGGAACGAAAAGGCUCUGGCUAAUACCUGGGGCACAUGACGGUACCGUAAGAAUAAGCACCGGCUAACUACGUG